GUGAUUUUUAAAUGGAGGAUUUAUGUGGUGUUCCCUUGUAAUAGGUGUCGAUAUAUACUCUUCGCCUAAAAAAGUCUUAGUUUGCUAUUUUGUCAAUAAAUUUAAUUAUAUUGAGUAAAGGAAGGACAACACUAUUGGGUUAUUUCCUUUUAUGAUAACGAAAGUUCAUUGAGAUUUUAACUGUAAUGAUGAAUAUAAAUACAAGAAGAUUGAAUAAAAUAGGAGUCCAACCCAUUUUUAAAUAGAAUAAAAACAGUUUUUUUGUCCUACAGCCAAAUUUCAUCAACACUCCGACCCGAGUCGUUCGUGGUUCGAUCAAGCUAAAAUUUGGAGGAGAGGAUCACAAGACAUAAAGCUACAAUCUGAACGGUGGAGAUCCAAUUUCGUGUUAGGGAACAUUGGUUACUGUGCGUUUACAAGAACCAAAUUUUUUUUUUAGCAUAUUUUUCCUAUUUUCAUAUUGUUUUGUCGAGAUUGUUGUUAUCUUGAAGAAAUAUAAGUUGUGACUAAAGAAGACUUGGUGUACCCAUUAUUUGAUUUAUAGUGGAGGUCUUGACUAGGUCCCGUGCUUUUUAUUCUUCACAUCGAGGAAGUUUUUCUACGUAAAAUAAUCG
Molecule: long non-coding RNA, 614 nt
Filed under: Olea europaea subsp. europaea
Lineage: Eukaryota; Viridiplantae; Streptophyta; Magnoliopsida; Lamiales; Oleaceae
Source: RNAcentral